UUCAUCAAAGACUCGUACAUAUUAUAAGCAAAACAAUAGUUUCACCCGUUGUAAUCUUAGCAGUUGUGUCAGAACUAGUGACAACUGCUGUAAGGCCGGCGGGACAGUAAUGUUCACAACAUUAGACUGUCAACGGUAAUAGAGUUUUGUGCCGAUGAUUUAAUUUGGAACAAACAUUAAUUAACUUUUUGAAACGCACUGUUUUGACAUUAUAUGUAUAUAUAACAAGAAAUCUACCGAGAUGCCUUAAGGUACACAUUGAUGACGUCUUUAGUAAACUGAUGAAU
This 287-nucleotide small nucleolar RNA is filed under the name Bactrocera dorsalis (oriental fruit fly). The record is from RNAcentral. Lineage: Eukaryota; Metazoa; Arthropoda; Insecta; Diptera; Tephritidae.